This 489-nucleotide unclassified non-coding RNA is filed under the name Hevea brasiliensis (rubber tree). The record is from RNAcentral. Lineage: Eukaryota; Viridiplantae; Streptophyta; Magnoliopsida; Malpighiales; Euphorbiaceae.
UUAGUCAAAUGUCAUGAUAAAUAAAUAAGAAAGGGAGAAAACGUAAAAUUUGGGCCCUAGGCCCAAAUUCUGCUGCUGCAGUUUUUAGGGCCUUUAGGCCUAUUUUCUUUCCAAAGUCAUGAUACAUUUUGAGUGUAUAUUCUAUGUAUAAGCUGUGUAUAUUGACAAGUUUUGCGCUCCUGAACCUGCUAUUUCAACCAAAACUUUGUAUUUUUGCGUUUUUAAUUUCCUGGCCACGUUUUCCAACUGCAUAUUGUAUAUUCACAUUGUAUACCAGUGUAUAUGGUCUGUACAUCGACCUAUUUUUUCGGCUUUUCGGGGACCUGCAAAUUAAUUCCCAGCAACAAAUUUGCUGAUUUUGAUCUGUACACCAGUUAUAACGGGAUGGACGACUCGGAUACGGUGGUGUGAGCCUUUACGUCUCGAUGAGAGGAUGCAAAUGGAUGAAGUAAAGUCCGUAAGGACCCAAAGAAAUUUUUUACAUGCAAG